Molecule: ribosomal RNA, 198 nt
Filed under: uncultured bacterium
Lineage: Bacteria
Description: partial 16S ribosomal RNA
Rfam family: Bacterial small subunit ribosomal RNA
Source: RNAcentral
ACGCUCGACACCUACGGAGGCAGCAGUGGGGAAUAUUGCACAAUGGGGGAAACCCUGAUGCAGCGACGCCGCGUGGAGGAAGAAGGUCUUCGGAUUGUAAACUCCUGUUGUUGGGGAAAAAGAGGAUGGUACCCAACAAGGAAGUGACGGCUAACUACGUGCCGACAGCCGCGGUAAUCUGAGCGGGCGUGGCAAGGC